UCUUUUCAAAUAAAUUCCACAUCUUACCAUCCUCAAAGCUUAGGAUCUCUAGAAAGGAGUCAUAUUACUCUUGUUGAAUAUUUUAAAAAUUUUGAUACUAAACAAGAUCGGGAUGAAUGGCUGCGUUACGCUAUUUUUUCCUAUAAUACCUCCGUUCAUGAAUCCACUGGAUUCACACCCCAUGCAUUGGUGUAUACGGGAGAGAAGCGAGACUCCCCACCGCGAUAAGCGACGAAACAAUUCCUCCGACUUAUGUAGAUUAUUUAAAAGACUUGUUUAGAAAAAUCAGCGAUAUACAAGCAACUGCAGCAGACAAUAUAAUCAACAAAAAAAAAAAAAAAAGUGCCUAUAGAUCUACACGGACGAUCAUCGAUUCCGUCCCGUGAGGGGAAGUGAGAAUCCCCCUCCACCACUAGGAAAGGAUUCACGCCCGUAUCCCGAGCCGAACUCAGGACUGGCAGUGCGAUCGAGUUGUCGUAUAAAACUGCCUACAACUUUCAUUCGGAUAAAGAAGAAAGCUAUAUUUUUAAGUACCUCAAACAACAAUCCAUUCCUCAGAUGCAUGAUACUUGAUCAGUUCAUACUUCCGACAACAACAUCCCGACAACAACCAAAAGCUAUAGGAACCUCCGUCCUUAUAUACUAACUGUGGAAUUUUUCACCGCUUGCCCCUGACCGCAUGGUGGGAGAAGGUUAUUUCCCCUCACGGGACGCAAUCGAUGACUGCCCAUCUACACACCGUGUGAACGUUCGUUUCGAUCUUGUCAUUGUGUGCACAGAUAAUUUUCAAGAUUAAUCGGAAUGCACCAUUCAUUUUACACAGUAAUAAAGAAUGUGUUAUAUGUUGGUCAUCGUGACGUGUCGGAAAGCAAAUAGGAAGUGUUUUACAUAGCGAGAGACUAGAAGAGCUCAAAGAGAAAUAUCCUGGAAUGUGACACUAUAAAGUCGUUUAUAACUAAAUUGUCUAUUCGGUCAAGUUGAAACAUUCUGAGACAAUUCAAAAAAAAAGUAGAACGAAAUUUGUACAUUAAAAUA
Molecule: long non-coding RNA, 1035 nt
Organism: Leptopilina heterotoma
Lineage: Eukaryota; Metazoa; Arthropoda; Insecta; Hymenoptera; Figitidae
Exons: 3
Source: RefSeq, a predicted model, not a curated record